This 241-nucleotide ribosomal RNA is filed under the name uncultured bacterium. RNAcentral describes it as "partial 16S ribosomal RNA". It matches the Rfam family "Bacterial small subunit ribosomal RNA", at positions 95 to 334 of the family's 1533-position model. The record is from RNAcentral.
CCGGCGCACGGGUGAGUAACACGUAUCCAACCUGCCGUCUACUCCUGGCCAGCCUUCUGAAAGGAAGAUUAAUCCAGGAUGGGAUCAUGAGUUCACAUGUCCGCAUGAUUAAAGGUAUUUUCCGGUAGACGAUGGGGAUGCGUUCCAUUAGAUAGUAGGCGGGGUAACGGCCCACCUAGUCAACGAUGGAUAGGGGUUCUGAGAGGAAGGUCCCCCACAUUGGAACUGAGACACGGUCCAA